RNAcentral lists this ribosomal RNA (167 nucleotides) under Haematococcus lacustris. RNAcentral describes it as "large subunit ribosomal RNA". Lineage: Eukaryota; Viridiplantae; Chlorophyta; Chlorophyceae; Chlamydomonadales; Haematococcaceae. The record is from RNAcentral.
AAAAAAGACAGUUUUUAUACCAUACCUAUUCUUAGUUUGGCUUGGAAGCAGCCAUACUUUAAUGAAAGCGUAAUAGCUCAAGAAUACUCUAUAAGAACAACUUAAAGGGUAUAAAAAUUUUACAGAUGUAAAGGGUUAAUACUACCGAAACAAGCAAAUAAAUCAUA